RNAcentral lists this ribosomal RNA (490 nucleotides) under uncultured bacterium. RNAcentral describes it as "partial 16S ribosomal RNA". It matches the Rfam family "Bacterial small subunit ribosomal RNA", at positions 30 to 507 of the family's 1533-position model. The record is from RNAcentral.
AUUGAACGCUGGCGGCAGGCCUAACACAUGCAAGUCGAACGGUAACAGGAAGAAGCUUGCUUCUUUGCUGACGAGUGGCGGACGGGUGAGUAAUGUCUGGGAAACUGCCUGAUGGAGGGGGAUAACUACUGGAAACGGUAGCUAAUACCGCAUAACGUCGCAAGACCAAAGAGGGGGACCUUCGGGCCUCUUGCCAUCGGAUGUGCCCAGAUGGGAUUAGCUAGUAGGUGGGGUAACGGCUCACCUAGGCGACGAUCCCUAGCUGGUCUGAGAGGAUGACCAGCCACACUGGAACUGAGACACGGUCCAGACUCCUACGGGAGGCAGCAGUGGGGAAUAUUGCACAAUGGGCGCAAGCCUGAUGCAGCCAUGCCGCGUGUAUGAAGAAGGCCUUCGGGUUGUAAAGUCCUUUCAGCGGGGAGGAAGGGAGUAAAGUUAAUACCUUUGCUCAUUGACGUUACCCGCAGAAGAAGCACCGGCUAACUCCGUG